This 3404-nucleotide long non-coding RNA is filed under the name Triticum aestivum (bread wheat). Its description in RNAcentral is "long non-coding RNA (TAES_LNC010079)". The record is from RNAcentral. Lineage: Eukaryota; Viridiplantae; Streptophyta; Magnoliopsida; Poales; Poaceae.
UUCGCCCACUGGUCAGUCGCUCCCGGCUUGAUUCGCGUCCUUUGUUUAUUCCAUAUGCGGAUUGCUUCGAUUCGAUUUGGUCUAGAAUCUCGACAUGGAUUCAGGAUUGCCCGAUGCCCGAGGUGUGGUGCGUGGUUUCAUGCUGUUGUUGAUCUGUCAGUCACAAAUGGAAAAUGAUUAGUUCGUCUCAGCAUGGUAUUAACCCCCUUGUGUGUAGUUCCCUCCAUAUAUCAGAGCGGCGCGGUUGUACUUUCUUUGUUUAUUUCUGAAAUCGCCACUAACUAGAACAUGAUGAUUUUGUUAGCCCACUGAAGAAUUUCCCAACACCUCAAUACUCUACCACACUAUGUUGUGUUUCAUUCUAGGAUCUGUGCUCUAGAAUGUUCAUUCUAGAAUAUGCUCAUUUAGGAAUAUUUGCUUUUUUGAAUAGAAACUCAUUUCCACAUAUGUUUUCUAUGUUUAUUAUGUUCUGAUUCUGGUCGAUCCCAGCCAUGAGCUUGAAUGGUCUAGUAGUAGAACAUCAAGUUAAUUUGUAGCAGUGAGGUCACUGAGCCUUGUAAUUGUAUCUUUGUGGUUACUAACAUGAUUGUUGUAGGCUACAAGAUAUAUCUCUGUCGGUUCAUCUUGUUGUAGAAUAUGCUGAAGGAAAUAUGCCCUAGAGGCAAUAAUAAAGUUAUUAUUUAUUUCCUUAUAAUCAUGAUAAAUGUUUAUUAUUCAUGCUGGAAUUGUAUUAACCGGAAACAUAAUACAUGUGUGAAUACAUAGACAAACAAAGUGUCACUAGUAUGCCUCUACUUGACUAGCUCGUUAAUCAAAGAUGGUUAUGUUUCCUGACCAUGAAGAAUGAGUUGUUAUUUGAUUAACGAGGUCACAUCAUUAGUUGAAUGAUCUGAUUGACAUGACCCAUUCCAUUAGCUUAGCACCCGAUCGUUCAGUAUGUUGCUAUUGCUUUCUUCAUGACUUAUACAUGUUCCUAUGACUAUGAGAUUAUGCAACUCCCGUUUGCCGGAGGAACACUUUGGGUGCUACCAAACGUCACAACGUAACUGGGUGAUUAUAAAGGAGCAUUACAGGUGUCUCCAAAGGUAGAUGUUGGGUUGGCGUAUUUCGAGAUUAGGAUUUGUCACUCUGAUUGUCGGAGAGGUAUCUCUGGGCCCUCUCGGUAAUACACAUCACAUAAGCCUUGCAAGCAUUACAACUAAUAUGUUAGUUGUGAGAUGAUGUAUUACGGAACGAGUAAAGAGACUUGCCGGUAAUGAGAUUGAACUAGGUAUUGGAUACCGACGAUCGAAUCUCGGGCAAGUAACAUACCGAUGACAAAGGGAACAACGUAUGUUGUUAUGCGGUCUGACCGAUAAAGAUCUUCGUAGAAUAUGUAGGAGCCAAUAUGGGCAUCCAGGUCCCGCUAUUGGUUAUUGACCGGAGACGUGUCUCGGUCAUGUCAACAUUGUUCUCGAACCCGUAGGGUCCGCACGCUUAAGGUUACGAUGACAGUUAUAUUAUGAGUUUAUGCAUUUUGAUGUACCGAAGGUUGUUCGGAGUCCCGGAUGUGAUCACGGACAUGACGAGGAGUCUCGAAAUGGUCGAGACGUAAAGAUUGAUAUAUUGGAAGCCUAUAUUUGGAUAUCGAAAGUGUUCCGGGUGAAAUCGGAUUUUACCGGGUUACCGGGAGGUUAUCGGAACCCCCCGGGAAUCAUAUGGGCCUUAAUGGGCCUUAGUGGAAAGGUGAAAGGGCUGCCCAUAAGGGCUGCGCGCCUCCCCCCCUCCCCUAGUCCUAUUAGGACUAGGAGAGGUGGCCGGCCACCCCUCUCCCUCUUUCCCCCUUGGGGAAUCCUAGUUGGAAUAGGAUUGGGGGGGGGAGUCCUACUCCCGGAAGGAGUAGGACUCCUCCUGCGCCCUUCUCCUAGCCGGCGCCCCCCUCCCCCCUUGGCUCCUUUAUAUACUGAGGCAGAGGCACCCCAAAAACACACAAGUUGAUCCACGUGAUCUAUUCCUUAGCCGUGUGCGGUGCCCCCUGCCACCAUAUUCCUCGAUAAUACUAUAGCGGAGUUUAGGCGAAGCCCUGCUGCUGUAGUUCAUCAAGAUCGUCACCACACCGUCGUGCUGACGGAACUCUUCCCCGACACUUUGCUGGAUCGGAGUCCGGGGAUCGUCAUCGAGCUGAACGUGUGCUUGAACUCGAAGGUGCCGUAGUUUCGGUGCUUGAUCGGUUGGAUCGUGAAGACGUACGACUACUUCCUCUACGUCGUGUCAGCGCUUCCACAGUCGGUCUGCGUUGGGUACGUAGACAACACUCUCCCCUCUCGUUGCUAUGCAUCACAUGAUCUUGCGUGUGCGUAGGAAUUUUUUUGAAAUUACUACGAAACCCAACAUAUGCCCCUAUCCAUUCAUUUAUGUGUAUUGCUAUUUGCCUCUGGUGACAUGCGAGAAGAACUCAUCUAUAUGUUUAUAUUUUGAGCGGCUGGGUACAACUACAGUUGCAAAAUCAUCCAGCCAAAUUUUGGGAGGAUGGCAUAAAAGAUUACAUAACCCAUGCUUUUGAAAUCAUGGUAAGCUUCACAAGCUUGUAAGGUGUUUCCUAUUUUCAAGUGACUUUACAUCAAGUUACUACUUCUCAACAGAAAUUCUAGACUGUGUAAUGUUACUGCAGAUAUGAUGUGGGUUCAAUGCUUAUAAUGUUACUGUAGAUAUUCAAAACAAGCUGAAGUCCUUUUGAUUCUUGAUUUCUAGCAUACACAUGCAACCUAAUUGGUGUUGUUACUGUAGAUAUGAUGUAGGUUCAAUGCUUACAAUUUUUUGAUGUGAUGCAUGUUACCUUUCGAAAUAUGAAGAUGCAUGUAAGAACUAUUGCUAGCGAUCUGGCAUGUCAUAACAGUCUUACCCCUUGUUCUAUCACUAGCAUACACUAUAGUUUUAGAUAAAAGGGGGCAUAUCAUUUGCUCUAUCAAUGGAUUGUUUAUUAAUUUAUUUGGACUUGCACACAUUAGGUAAGGAAGGAUCGCCAAUCUGGGUGUCCAAAUGAUAGUAAAACCUAGGCUCUUGCACGGUUCUUGGAUUUAUUUUUAGCAUAUAUUACCAAUAUCGAGUCUAAACAUGUGGCUUUUCUUCUCAUCUAUAGGAGAGUUAUGUGCUGAUUUUUUUGGAGAAGCUGGAAGUCCAAGUCAACGACUUGCUUUAUAUGUUUGUUGUAAUGCCGUAUUUUCUGGGAAUUUGGAUGUAAGUUGAUCUUGCUGAGAAUUUGGUGUAUAUUUGCUUGCUGAACUUAUUAUUCAAAUGCUAGGAUAUAUGUACAAACCCUUGGAAUAUUAUUCUAUGUUUACUUGAAAUGUAUUCUUGGAUUAGAAGUGGUCAAAAAGAGAAUAUAUUGGUAUUGAAUUUGGUUUGAUUCUAUGUUUGUGCUGUAA